GUCGCUACUACCGAUUGAAUGGCUCGGUGAGGCCUUCGGACUGGCCCAGGGAGGUCGGCAACGACCACCCAGGGCCGGAAAGUUGGUCAAACCCGGUCAUUUAGAGGAAGUAA
RNAcentral lists this ribosomal RNA (113 nucleotides) under uncultured eukaryote. RNAcentral describes it as "partial small subunit ribosomal RNA". It matches the Rfam family "Eukaryotic small subunit ribosomal RNA", at positions 1675 to 1785 of the family's 1831-position model. The record is from RNAcentral.